AGGACAAACGCUGGCGGCGUACCUAAGACAUGCAAGUCGAACGGGACUUUCCGCCUUUGGUGGGAAGUCGAGUGGCGGACGGGUGAGUAACGCGUGGGAACCUGUCGCGCGGUGGGGGAUACCGCCGGGAAACCGGCGCUAAUACCGCAUAGGUUCAUCGGAAGGUGAACAAAGCAGCAAUGCGCCGUGUGAGGGGCCCGCGUCCGAUUAGCUCGUUGGUGGGGUAACGGCCUACCAAGGCGACGAUCGGUAGCUGGUCUGAGAGGACGAUCAGCCACACUGGGAUUGAGAACGGCCCAGACUCCUACGGGGGGCAGCAGUGAGGAAUUUCCGCAAUGGGCGCAAGCCUGACGGAGCAACGCCGCGUGCAGGAAGACGGUUUUCGGAUCGUAAACUGCUUUUCUCGGGGACGAGAACGGACGGUACCCGAGGAAUCAGCCCCGGCUAACUACGUGCCAGCAGCCGC
Molecule: ribosomal RNA, 466 nt
Filed under: uncultured bacterium
Lineage: Bacteria
Description: SSU rRNA
Rfam family: Bacterial small subunit ribosomal RNA
Source: RNAcentral